GGACUACACGGGUAUCUAAUCCUGUUCGCUCCCCACGCUUUCGCGCCUCAGCGUCAGUAUUGUGCCAGGUGGCUGCCUUCGCCAUUGACGUUCCUUCCGAUCUCUACGCAUUUCACCGCUACACCGGAAAUUCCGCCACCCUCUCACAUACUCCAGCCCGGCAGUCUGCAGUGCUCUUCCCAGGUUAAGCCCGGGGCUUUCACACCACGCACGCCGUGCCGCCUACGCGCCCUUUACACCCAGUAAAUCCGAUUAACGCUCGCACCCCCUGUAUUACCGCGGCUGCUGGCAC
RNAcentral lists this ribosomal RNA (292 nucleotides) under uncultured bacterium. RNAcentral describes it as "partial 16S ribosomal RNA". The record is from RNAcentral.